This 425-nucleotide ribosomal RNA is filed under the name uncultured bacterium. Its description in RNAcentral is "partial 16S ribosomal RNA". It matches the Rfam family "Bacterial small subunit ribosomal RNA", at positions 354 to 796 of the family's 1533-position model. The record is from RNAcentral.
GUGGGGAAUCUUGCGCAAUGGGCGAAAGCCUGACGCAGCCAUGCCGCGUGAAUGAUGAAGGUCUUAGGAUUGUAAAAUUCUUUCACCGGGGACGAUAAUGACGGUACCCGGAGAAGAAGCUCCGGCUAACUUCGUGCCAGCAGCAGCGGUAAUACGAAGGGGGCUAGCGUUGCUCGGAAUUACUGGGCGUAAAGGGCGCGUAGGCGGACAGCUUAGUCAGAGGUGAAAGCCCAGGGCUCAACCUUGGAAUUGCCUUUGAGACUGGCUGUCUUGAGUUUGGGAGAGGUGAGUGGAACUCCGAGUGUAGAGGUGAAAUUCGUAGAUAUUCGGAAGAACACCAGUGGCGAAGGCGACUCACUGGCCCAAUACUGACGCUGAGGCACGAAAGCGUGGGGAUCGAACAGGAUUAGAAACCCGGGUAGUCC